RNAcentral lists this ribosomal RNA (486 nucleotides) under uncultured bacterium. RNAcentral's name for it is "partial 16S ribosomal RNA". It matches the Rfam family "Bacterial small subunit ribosomal RNA", at positions 30 to 507 of the family's 1533-position model. The record is from RNAcentral.
AUUGAACGCUGGCGGCAUGCCUUACACAUGCCAGUCGAACGGCAGCACGGGUGCUUGCACCUGGUGGCGAGUGGCGAACGGGUGAGUAAUACAUCGGAACAUGUCCUGUAGUGGGGGAUAGCCCGGCGAAAGCCGGAUUAAUACCGCAUACGAUCUACGGAUGAAAGCGGGGGCCCUUCGGGCCUCGCGCUAUAGGGUUGGCCGAUGGCUGAUUAGCUAGUUGGUGGGGUAAAGGCCUACCAAGGCGACGAUCAGUAGCUGGUCUGAGAGGACGACCAGCCACACUGGGACUGAGACACGGCCCAGACUCCUACGGGAGGCAGCAGUGGGGAAUUUUGGACAAUGGGCGAAAGCCUGAUCCAGCAAUGCCGCGUGUGUGAAGAAGGCCUUCGGGUUGUAAAGCACUUUUGUCCGGAAAGAAAUCCUUGGCCCUAAUACGGUCGGGGGAUGGCGGUACCGGAAGAAUAAGCACCGGCUAACUACGUG